Molecule: long non-coding RNA, 600 nt
Organism: Coturnix japonica (Japanese quail)
Lineage: Eukaryota; Metazoa; Chordata; Aves; Galliformes; Phasianidae
Source: Ensembl
CGUGCCCACGCUUUUCGUGGUGUGUAACGUCCCCAUCGCGAGGGCUCGGUACCACGCCAGUCUCGGCAACGGAGACAGGGCGGUAACAGGUGAUGCACAACCACCUGUGUGAAGCCGCUGGGCGGCCCUCCCGGGCUCUCUCAGGGUACUCCCCAUGGUAGACCCAGCUCCCCCGGGGGGUCCGUUCCUCGGCUUCCUCCUCGAGGCACGGGGACGCCUAACCUUACAACCCCGCACGAUGCGGGUAGGGAGCCUGGCUUGAUGGGGCAUAUGCUCAAGCGGCGGCUCCGAGCCCCGUGGCCCGCCCCACGCCGCCGCGGGUGGCAGGGGAGGUACCGCUGGCUCCGAGGCGGAGCUUUGCUCCGCUCCACCGCGCCGCGCCCGGCCCGCACCUCUCCGCUCCGCCGCGGCCCCGUUCGUUCCGGAUCCGCGGCCCCGGCGCGGCGGUGUUGCCGCGCUCCCCGCCGCGGCUCUGGGUGCCUUCUGCCUCCCAGCAUGAAUGUGAGGAGGGUGGAGAGCAUCUCGGCGCAGCUGGAGGAGGCCAGCUCCACAGGCGAAGGGGUAAGUGGAAGGACUUGGUGCUGUUCAUUGCUCCAGUAA